AUGCCUAUACCCGACCGUUACGGCAUGUGCCCGGUCGGCGGUAACGCGCACACAUGUGGCCAGGCCGUAACGAGUAGGAAGGUCGUGGCGGUGGCGUCGAAGGCUUCGAGCGUGAGCUCAGCUGGAGCCGCCGUCAGUGCAGCUCACGGUUGUAGUAGCAAAUAUUUAAGUUCGAUCCUUAGAGACUGAAGUGGAGAAGGUUUCCACGUGAACAGCAGUUGGAUGUGGGUCAGCCGACCCUAAGACACUGGCGAAAGCCGUUUAUUCAUCGAGAGGGCGCGGCUUGCGGCGCUCGUCGUCGUGGCGUGUGGCUCUCGUUGAGUCGAAAGGGAAUGGGGUUAAUAUUCCCCAGCGAGGACAUCGCGAUCGCGCGCCGACCGCCGCAAGGUGGCCGACGUGCGUGUGCGGUAACGCGAAUCAAAAUCGACGACGUCUGUCGGCGAACGAGCUAGAGUUUUCUUCUCUAGUUAAGAGACGGACUCCCUGGAAUCGGUUCAUCCGGAGAUAGGGACGUUGUUUCUCGAAAAGCAUCGCGGUUUCUGCGGUGUCUCGUUCUCGCCGACGGAUCCUUGAAAAGUCGAUGGCGACUCUCAAGCGAUGCCUCAUCGUACCGAUAACCGCAUCAGGUCUCCAAGGUGAAUAGCCUCUAGUCGAUGGAAUAAUGUAGAUAAGGGAAGUCGGCAAAUUAGAUCCGUAACUUUGGGAAAAGGAUUGGCUCCAGAGGCCGGGCCGGUUGGCCGGCUCGCCGAAGCUAGCGUGGCUCUGUCCAUGUCUGGCGUCGCUUUAACCGGCGGCGUCGGACUAGCGGCGGUGGUCGGCUUGUGGACGUGGGUCGGUGUAUGCUCUGGCCUCGGCCUUAGCAUCCUGACCGGCCGCUUAAACGGUCAAUCUGGAACUGGUACGGACGCGGGGAAUCCGACUGUCUAAUUAAAACAGAGGAGACAGAUGGUCCUCACGGACGUUGACUGUCUCUGAUUUCUGCCCAGUGCUCUGAAUGUUAAAUCGUAGUAAUUCGAGUAAGCGCGGGUAAACGGCGGGAGUAACUAUGACUCUCUUAAGGUAGCCAAAUGCCUCGUCAGGUAAUUUCUGACGCGCACGAAUGGAUUAACGAGAUUCCUACUGUCCCUAACUACUAUCUAGCGAAACCACAGCCAAGGGAACGGGCUUGGCAAAAAUAGCGGGGAAAGAAGACCCUGUUGAGCUUGACUCUAGCUUGAUUUUGUGAAGAAUCAUGAGAGGUGUAGCAUAGGUGGGAGGUCGCAAGGCCGACGAUGAAAUACCACCACUUUCAUCGAUUCUUCACUCAUUCGGUUAUAAGAGGAUGGGGGGCCGGUGCGCCUCGUGCGUUCCGCGCCUCCUCUAUUCCUCGGUGUUAAGGGCGG
RNAcentral lists this ribosomal RNA (1382 nucleotides) under Protorhabditis sp. VS-2014. RNAcentral describes it as "eukaryotic LSU rRNA". It matches the Rfam family "Eukaryotic large subunit ribosomal RNA", at positions 1338 to 2576 of the family's 3401-position model. Lineage: Eukaryota; Metazoa; Nematoda; Chromadorea; Rhabditida; Rhabditidae. The record is from RNAcentral.